GACCGCAAUUAUAGGCAUAAUUCGUUUUCUGCUGAAUGUAUAGAAUGUAGUUGCAGAUUAAAUAAUUACAUGGUUCUGCUCGAUUCAGGAAGGAUUUCAUGUCUGCAGAUAAUGUAUUACAAGAGGCUGUUGUGUGCCAGUGGACAAGCUGGUGAGAAGCUGAACACUAAUAGCUUGAAUCCUGGUGAAUGGACUGCCUGCAUAAGCGUCGUCAUGAUUUUUCCACGUGUAAUAUGAAUGCAAGCCAGUUUGCCUUAAAGCAUCCCUUCUUGGAAAAUAUCUUCUAGUGUUUCAUCACAAAAAUCAGUCAAAAACUGUUUCUCAUGAUUUGAAAAAUACGUAUAAAGGAAGUCAAAUUUAAUUGAUAAAUUGUGCAUGCUGAGAUUGUAUACUAUAUCAUAUACAUUUUUUAAUAUAUUUUCUGUAUCUCUAAUGUUGAGAAUUUUGAUGUUUUAAUUUAACCCUGAAUAAAAUGUUAAGUACUAUAAGCAAAGUAAGCAGUAUUGUAUUUGAUGUCAGAACAAUAUUUUUUUUAUUUUUUAUUUUUAUAUACUUGUAUAUUUUUGCUUAUGAUUGGAAUUUUAGUACAAAUUAUUUUGGCAUGAUGUGGCCUGUUCUCAUUUAAAAUGCAUUUUGUAUUUUUUUUUUUUUUUUUCUUCUGUUAUUUGCAUUAUAAUAGUUUGGCCAUAACAACUAUGGAUGCCAAAUCAACAUGUAUGGGAAUAACUGUAUUAAAUUUUGAGAAAACC
Long non-coding RNA from Stegodyphus dumicola, 749 nucleotides. The record is from RefSeq and is a predicted model, not a curated record. Lineage: Eukaryota; Metazoa; Arthropoda; Arachnida; Araneae; Eresidae.